Molecule: long non-coding RNA, 1307 nt
Filed under: Vulpes vulpes (red fox)
Lineage: Eukaryota; Metazoa; Chordata; Mammalia; Carnivora; Canidae
Description: lncRNA (ENSVVUG00000018530.1)
Source: RNAcentral
GCUUUUAGCUUAGCAGGUAUUUCAUUUUUAAGAGAAGGAAUGCCUGAAGAUAAGAGAAGUUCCUCCCUGGAGUAUGUUUGAGCAAGCAAAAUAAGCAAAGUGAAUUUGGGUUUUAUAUACUGAGUGAAAUAUAUAGACGCACAUUUUCUUCAUUUAAAGUAUAUUAAAGUUUCCUAAACAGGAUUUUUAAUUCAUUUAAAACGGCAUUAGGUUAGGUGGGCUGUUGGUGCUUUGAAUUAAUGUGCAAGCUGUUAAUCUCCAUAGACCUGGAUUUAAAAUUAGACAAAGCAAUAAUUAGUUUGGCACCAUCAUUUCACUACCCAGAGGGUAAUAAUGUAGGUCAUAAAAUACUACAGCCUGGCACAAGUUUUUUUGUACAAAACAAGGAUCUAGUAUUAGGUGGUGUGGGAAAAAAAAAAAAAAAAGAUUGUCACUGGGAAGUACAAUGGCUUAGCUUUUGAUGUAUGUCCCACUAUUCCUAAAGAGACCUAAAUUCAGAAAUUCUUAUCAGGUUUUCCUGUUUAAGGUGAGUCUUUCCCUUCUAAGUGCCACAAAGAAAUCUUCAUAUCUUCUCUCAGUAGCUGGUGGGAUUUUUUUUUUUUCCUGUAAUAUGCUUCCACACACAGCAUUCGUGUGUUUAGUUACAGAAUUAAGAUUUUCAUUUGCACCAUGCUUUUAUUUUGCUGUAGUUAUUUUCCCCACCGGUUUGCCAUUUUGUUAAAUUAGAAAAUUGGCAUACUGUAAACAUUUUUUAAAAUAUAAAAGUGUUGCAUUCAGGGAAGUGCUUACCAUACAUAACUUGAUUUGUUUUCAUGGCAAAUGACUACUGGCAAUAUCAAUAAUUCAAGAACAGAAACAAUGAAAAUACAGAGGAAUUGCAUUUGGAUACUUCUUCCUGUCAAUCAUCUUUGCCAGAUUCCUAUUUGAACAUCCUGAAAAUGAGGAAGACAUCAGAUCUCGCCUUAAGGAAGUCUGAUACCCAGGAGAUGAUCCGAGUUUCAACUCUCUGUGGUGAAAAGAGGGUGAAGAGCAGCAGAAAAUCCAAUUCUCUUGACCUUCAGGACAUGGAGCAGAACUCAUCGCUUCCACCUGGCCUACCCAAAUUUUAUGUACACAGUGGAAGUUCACGCUCUCAGUUUAUCUAUCCCCAAGUCCUAGGCCACUUCCAGAGGAGUCUGAGAAGCAGGGAUCAAGUGCUUGGGAAGCCAGUCAGAACCUUCAGUGCAUGCCUUUUUCACCUGCUACAAUGCUUUAUUGAUCUAAAAUGUGAUUAAACAGUAAAUAAACUUUCCCAUUAAAAUAAAACA